GGGGGAGCGGUAACUGAGGGGAGGCCUCCAGGAUUGUGGGUCUUAUCAAGACUCUCUCACAGUGAGACGACAGGAACGCUGUCUGCCUGGGGUGUAUCCUACCUUCUAACUGAUGCGGAGUACACCUUCCUUUUGGCCUCCAGGAGCUGGACCAAGGCACCAUAACCACGCAUGAUAUUGUUGGUCUGUGACCGGCCUGAAACGGUGCCACACUAUAGGUGGAUUGGUU
Bufo bufo (common toad) is the source of this 229-nucleotide long non-coding RNA. RefSeq lists it as uncharacterized. The record is from RefSeq and is a predicted model, not a curated record. Lineage: Eukaryota; Metazoa; Chordata; Amphibia; Anura; Bufonidae. The transcript has 3 exons.